RNAcentral lists this ribosomal RNA (451 nucleotides) under uncultured bacterium. RNAcentral describes it as "SSU rRNA". It matches the Rfam family "Bacterial small subunit ribosomal RNA", at positions 26 to 523 of the family's 1533-position model. The record is from RNAcentral.
AGAGCGAACGCUGGCGGCAUGCUUAACACAUGCAAGUCGCACGGCCGGCAACGGCAGUGGCGGACGGGUGAGUAACGCGUAGGUAUCUAUCUCCGGGUGGGGGACAACUGUGGGAAACUACAGCUAAUACCGCAUGAAGCCCGAGGGCCAAAGCAGCGAUGCGCCUGGAGAGGAGCCUGCGUACGAUUAGCUUGUUGGUGAGGUAAAGGCUCACCAAGGCGACGAUCGUUAGCUGGUCUGAGAGGAUGAUCAGCCACACUGGGACUGAGACACGGCCCAGGCUCCUACGGGAGGCAGCAGUGGGGGAAUAUUGGACAAUGGGCGCAAGCCUGAUCCAGCAAUGCCGCGUGAGUGAAGAAGGUCUUCGGAUUGUAAAGCUCUUUCGACGGGGACGAUGAUGACGGUACCGUAGAAGAAGCCCCGGCUAACUUCGCGCCAGCAGCCGCGGUAA